This 106-nucleotide ribosomal RNA is filed under the name Xanthobacteraceae bacterium. The record is from RNAcentral. Lineage: Bacteria; Pseudomonadati; Pseudomonadota; Alphaproteobacteria; Hyphomicrobiales; Xanthobacteraceae. RNAcentral also lists the same sequence under 5 other names.
ACCAUAGCAAGUCGGUCCCACCCCUUCCCAUCCCGAACAGGACCGUGAAACGACUUUGCGCCGAUGAUAGUGCUGCAACCAGUGUGAAAGUAGGUUAUCGUCAGGC